This 213-nucleotide long non-coding RNA is filed under the name Elaeis guineensis (African oil palm). RNAcentral describes it as "long non-coding RNA (EGUI_LNC069961)". Lineage: Eukaryota; Viridiplantae; Streptophyta; Magnoliopsida; Arecales; Arecaceae. The record is from RNAcentral.
UGGAUGACCCUACUCCGAACUUCUUUCGAACUUCGUCAGCACCCGAGCUUCUCCGACAACAAGAUUUUUACAGUAACCAGACUCCAUCCAAGUUUCUACGACGAUCGACCACCUUCUGGAUCUCAACCGAGCUCCCGCGAGAGCCGAACUUCUACUAUGAGUGGUCUACUCCGAACUUCUACUACGAGCGGUCUACUCUGAACUCCUACAGCG